This 253-nucleotide ribosomal RNA is filed under the name uncultured bacterium. RNAcentral's name for it is "partial 16S ribosomal RNA". It matches the Rfam family "Bacterial small subunit ribosomal RNA", at positions 524 to 776 of the family's 1533-position model. The record is from RNAcentral.
UACAGAGGUCUCAAGCGUUGUUCGGAUUCAUUGGGCGUAAAGGGUGCGUAGGUGGCGGGGUAAGUCAGGUGUGAAAUUUCGGAGCUCAACUCCGAAACUGCAUUUGAUACUGCCUUGCUUGAGGACUGGAGAGGAGACUGGAAUUCACGGUGUAGCAGUGAAAUGCGUAGAUAUCGUGAGGAAGACCAGUGGCGAAGGCGGGUCUCUGGACAGUUCCUGACACUGAGGAGCGAAAGCAUGGGUAGCGAACAGG